CACGGGGUUGCGAGCGUUGUCCGGAAUUACUAGGCGUAAAGGGCAGGCAGGUGGGAUCCAUAAGUUUAUCGUUUAAGGCGUCGGCUUAACCGGCGUAGGGCGGUAGAUACUGUGGAUCUGGAAUGCGGUUGGGGAAGACAGAAUUCCUGGUGUAGCGGUUGAAUGCGCAGAGAUCAGGAGGAAUACCGAAGGCGAAGGCAGUCUUCCAAGCCGUUAUUGACGCUCAACUGCGAAGGUGUGGGUAUCAAACAGGAUUAGAUACCCGGGUAGUCCCUGAG
Molecule: ribosomal RNA, 278 nt
Filed under: uncultured prokaryote
Description: partial 16S ribosomal RNA
Rfam family: Bacterial small subunit ribosomal RNA
Source: RNAcentral